Molecule: ribosomal RNA, 775 nt
Filed under: uncultured Neocallimastigales
Lineage: Eukaryota; Fungi; Neocallimastigomycota; Neocallimastigomycetes; Neocallimastigales
Description: partial large subunit ribosomal RNA
Rfam family: Eukaryotic large subunit ribosomal RNA
Source: RNAcentral
CUAUACAUGACUCUGUGCAUAUCAAUAAGCGGAGGAAAAGAAACUAACAAGGAUUCCCCUAGUAACGGCGAGUGAAGCGGGAAGAGCUCAAAUUUGAAAUCUUCAAGGGUUUCCCUUUACGAAUUGUAGUUUAAAGAAGUGUUUUCUGUUGAGGUUUUGGUAAAAGUUCUUUGGAAUAGGACAUCAUAGAGGGUGAGAAUCCCGUAUUUGACCUUUACUUUCAACUUUGUGAUACACUUUCAAAGAGUCGGAUUGUUUGGGAAUGCAGUCCAAAAUGGGUGGUAAAUUUCAUCUAAAGCUAAAUAUUGGCGAGAGACCGAUAGCGAACAAGUACCGUGAGGGAAAGAUGAAAAGAACUUUGAAAAGAGAGUUAAACAGUACGUGAAAUUGUCAAAAGGGAAGCGUUUGACACCAGUGUUGUUUUUCUGAAAAUCAAUUAAAGAACUGUUUAUGCUAAGCUGUUUAGACUUUAUCAGCUAAUCUGUUUAGUUUUGAGCUUUUCUUUAAUGCACUUUUCAGUUAACAAGUCAACAUCAAUUUCUUUUGCUGUAAAAAAGCUUGAGGAAGGUGGCUUGAGAUUCGUCUUAAGUGUUUAUAGCCUCUUGCCUAUGCAGUCGGAGAGAUUGAGGUCUGCAGCGUAGAUCCUUCGGGGCUAAAUGCAUUUGUGCUAAGUUAUAGCAUUUUAUAGACAACUUGUUGACUAUGAUUUGUCUUGUAGCUUACUCGCUUAUGUUAUUUUACCUACGCUUAGGAUGUUGACAGCAGUAUAGACUGU